Molecule: long non-coding RNA, 3690 nt
Organism: Styela clava
Lineage: Eukaryota; Metazoa; Chordata; Ascidiacea; Stolidobranchia; Styelidae
Source: RefSeq, a predicted model, not a curated record
CGUAGUAACUUCCCCUCUUGUUACGUAACAAUAAAGAUACUACUUGCUGCGAUUUCGUGAUCUGCAGUUUAUUUAUCUGCUGAACCCAGUUUAGGGUAUAUGAGUGAUUUUUUCAGUAUCUCGAAUAAAAAUCAGGCAGAGAUGAGAAAGAAGAGUUGAACUUUUUCUUUAUUCCUUACAGGACCACAUGUUUGCAAUCAAAAACUGAGUGUUAUUUAGAAUUAGCACGAACGAAACGCACGAACAAAACGUUCGGGUACCGCUGUCCUAGACAAAGCAAUUAGCCAUUAAAUGAGAGUGGCAUUGUGAGCAACGAGAGUCUAAUAGAAUAUUAUCUCAUUGCACACUGUAACAGUUGUUGGUGGCGUCAAGAGCAAAAAUAAUUAAACCUUUUUUUAUGUAAUAUGGGCUUAUUAGAAUUAGACUCCAUUAAAAUUUUGUGGUAACCCACCUAGAUGAAACGUGCAUGAAAGGCUUUUUUGUUCAUGAUCCAUAGAUGAACGUUAUAAAUAAAAGAUUUAUCAAGCGAUGUAAAAAGUUAUUUUUCACCAACCAACAUGUGCAUGAAAAAAUGGUUUUGACUUGUGUUGCGCUGCUUUGAAUGCAGGCAGGAUAUAAAUGACAAACUACUUCCCUCCAGUAACAUUGAUGCGCACUAAACUUUUAGACGACAUGGACGCCAAGCAAAACAGCGUAGACAUUGAUCAGGGAAUGAUACCGAAUGGUUAUUGUGAGAAAAGAAAUUUUUUGAGAUUCACAGCAAGUGAUGAUAGUUAUUCAAACAAAUUUAUGAACUGGUAUAUUAACCAACAAUGGACGUCGAUUUGUGCAGUACCUGAUGGUAUCCUCAUUUAAAAUAUGGUUUGUAUUAUGUCCACGGUAUAAUCUAAAACCGCUUGCCCAAUUUGUCAUGGUAAAACUCAUUGAAUCAAAUACAAUGAAAUGCAAAAAACUACGCCAUUAAGAAAAUUCAAAGUAAAUGGUGUGAUGAAAUCUGUCUGGUCAGACGUUAUUGAGAACCUUAAAUAUCAGACAUGAAUAUACUUACGCACAAUCCAGAUAUCGAUUCUUACGUUAAUAGAGUCCUAAAUAAAAGCGCCGACAGUAAUUAUUAACGUAAAAUAUUACCGUGUUGCUAAUUGAAAUUUCAGCGUAUGACUAAAAAAUAUCGCAAAACGAAAUAUUAAUUUUGAUUUCAUCACUGUUUAAAUAUUUACCGUAUUUACUUUGAAGUUUAUCUUUCACAAAUAAUGCAUGCGUCAACCUUUGGAAAUAUACAGAGGAAAUUUGAAUUUUUAAGAUUCAAUUAAUAGGUAUACAGAUUGGUUACAGUUGAUUGGUAAAUACAAGCUGUUAGCGUCAUUUCAUUUCCGGAUGUCAAUGGCAAACCUUCAUGAAAGACCUCUUAGAUCGCUUCAUUCAAGUCGCAUGUCAGCAGUGACAAUUAUUGAUAGGUCAUAUUGACGCAUUUGCGAAAAAAAUACUACUAAAAUGUUAUACAUAUUAUUUGGAAUAAAACUUAAUUCCCUUUUAUUAGAGUUCAACAUAGAGUGUAUCGUAUAUGCACGUAAGAUUGAGUUUAUGGAGUGAAUGAAGGUUUAAAUAUUUCAGGUUCACUGCAGAUAAGGAAAGUAUCCAGAUAAAGUGUCCGUAUAGAUACAGAAACACUCAAUCCGAGGCGAAUUCUCCUGUGUUUUACUUUAGAAUAAAUAUCAUUGGGCAUGACUUCGCACCAUUUCUUUUUCUAGCAAGAUUUAUGCACAGUAUAACUGAACUCUUCAUUACACGAUGCAGUCAAUGGCAUUGAUUUCGAUGUUGUUCAUCUUUUCAUUUUUUGGAUUCACAAAAUUUACUAAUGCUGGCUCGAGAAUAGACAUCCCAAGUGGCCAAUUGAACGGAAAUUGGUUUUCAGAUCAGAAACAAAUUUCAAGAAGAAAUUUUGAUAAGCAGGAGAGGGAUGUUGAAGUUAUAUUCGAUGAUUAACGGUUGCUGGACAAUGCUUCAAUUCUUGCUGAUAUAUUUCCAAUCAAGAAAUUUUUGAAGAAAAUAACUCAAAACCAUUUUCAAUUAAGCAAGCUUUUAAGUUUUACCAGUCGACCUUUUAACACAAAAUAUCAUUUAUUUUGUUAAAAAUUUUUAAAAGCAUGCCGUCUUUAAUUUUUGUUCAGGUCGCACCGAAUGAUAUUGAUUCGGUUCCGUUAGCUUUAAACUACCAAUUCCAACUGAAGUUUCAUCAUUUCAUGCCGGUAUCUUUUAACUUUAAAUUCUUAUUUUUGUUUUGGUUGAAUAAACGUAAAAUAAUUUACAGAUAUUUUUGUUGGUAUAUAUGUGAUUCUUGAGGCGUGAGUGUAGGCCCUUUUAAAAUGCAAAAAAUGAUUGAAAUGACAUACAUAUUGAUUUGAUACAAAAACUGUAAAUUUAUCCCGUACUGAUUGAUCCACGGGACAAUUUAACUUGGUUAAACCAAGAUCUCUAACAGCAAUAAAUUUAACAUGUUUCUCAGUUUCAUCUAAUAAUUUCUUGCUUUAUUUAUAACCUCAACUCUCGCACUUGUUUUGGACUUUUGUAAAUGAAUUCAAGUGGUAUGCAAUCUAUUACCAGUUCAAACUCGAUACAAAGGGAAUCUUUCGAAUGUCAAAACUAUGGCCAUCCCUGCUUUCUCCGUCUAGAAAUGUCUGGGGUAACUAAUUUUGUUCGCCUACUUUACAUCAAGUUGUGUAAAAGGGACGAAAGCCAAUGGGCAGGGGAUAUAUUCACUUGGCUAACACAAACAGUCCCCGAACUCGUAAUAUAACCAAAAUUAGGAAAAUCGGAAUAAAAUUAUGGCCUAACCCUAACCUGGUACACACGAUACGGGAGGGGAGUAUCAAUAUGUAUCAGUAUGGCUAACACAAACAGUCCCCGAACUCGUAAUAUAACCAAAAUUAGGAAAAUCGGAAUAAAAUUAUGGCUUAACCCUAACCUGGUACACACGAUACGGGAGGGGAGUAUCAAUUAAACUAUUGCGUGCAAAGAAAAUUAUUUGCUUCUUGUCUAUUUGCUCUUAUACCAACACACUUUCAACUUCUACUGGACCGGCGUCAAUCAUAACUUGUUUUUUAGAACUUUUGUCGUAGUUUUCAAAUAUGCUUGCGUUUGUCAAUCUAUGCCGCAUCGUUUCACGUAAACAUUUUUGUUCUCGAUCCCAUUUUCAGUUUUCUCAUUUUCUUGUCCUUUUUCAAAUAGUUCUGACAAUGUUGCAUGGUCGGAAAUAUAUAUAUCCUGCACACCAAAAAAUAUUCGUAUUUGGAUGGUAUCUUCAGAUUCUCUUUCGUUUUCACUAGAUUUAACUUUCCAAUCAUAGGGACAUAUUCCGUUGGCUUGUUAUAACAUGCCCCAUAAAUUCAGUUUUUGACAUUCUAAAUUAACACUUUCCUUUAUUCAAUGUGAGACCCAAAUUUUGGAGUCGCAUCAGAAGUCUCUUCAAUUUUUUAUCAUGAUCGGUUUCUAUCACCCGAUGAACCACUAUAAUAUCAUCUAGAACAUUUUAGACUCCACCAAGACCUUGCAAUGCUUGUAGCAAUAUUCAUUACCUAUUAUUGGCUAAAUCAGUGGUAAAUCGGCUCCCUGUAAUAUCCAUGAAAUACUGCUAUAUUCUAUGUCUUAUAUUUGGUAUAUGACGCAAUAAUAUGAGGACACCUAGUGAUCUAG